AGAGUUUGAUCCUGGCUCAGGACGAACGCUGGCGGCGCGCCUAACACAUGCAAGUCGAACGAGCGAGAGAGAGCUUGCUUUCUCGAGCGAGUGGCGAACGGGUGAGUAACGCGUGAGGAACCUGCCUCAAAGAGGGGGACAACAGUUGGAAACGACUGCUAAUACCGCAUAAGCCCACGGGUCGGCAUCGACCAGAGGGAAAAGGAGCAAUCCGCUUUGAGAUGGCCUCGCGUCCGAUUAGCUAGUUGGUGAGGUAACGGCCACCGAAGGCGACGAUCGGUAGCCGGACUGAGAGGUUGAACGGCCACAUUGGGACUGAGACACGGCCCAGACUCCGUACGGGAGGCA
Molecule: ribosomal RNA, 348 nt
Filed under: uncultured bacterium
Lineage: Bacteria
Description: bacterial SSU rRNA
Rfam family: Bacterial small subunit ribosomal RNA
Source: RNAcentral